UACGUAGGGGGCAAGCGUUGUCCGGAUUUAUUGGGCGUAAAGAGCGUGUAGGCGGCCAGACAGGUCCGUUGUGAAAACUCGAGGCUCAACCUCGAGAUGUCGAUGGAAACCGUCUGGCUAGAGUCCGGAAGAGGAGUGUGGAAUUCCUGGUGUAGCGGUGAAAUGCGCAGAUAUCAGGAAGUACACCUAUGGCGAAGGCAGCACUCUGGGACGGUACUGACGCUGAGACGCGAAAGCGUGGGGAGCGAACAGG
Molecule: ribosomal RNA, 253 nt
Filed under: uncultured bacterium
Lineage: Bacteria
Description: partial 16S ribosomal RNA
Rfam family: Bacterial small subunit ribosomal RNA
Source: RNAcentral